Molecule: long non-coding RNA, 2577 nt
Organism: Pygocentrus nattereri (red-bellied piranha)
Lineage: Eukaryota; Metazoa; Chordata; Actinopteri; Characiformes; Serrasalmidae
Source: Ensembl
GUCUAUCUGUCGACUAGCUCAAAGAACCACUGGUACAUUCUGCUGUCCGACUAUGAUAAACAGGCGCUUGGCCAACAAUAAACCGAUACAAGAGCCCAGCUAUAAGGACACUAUACUCAGCUGGAAAUGUCAAGUUGAAAGUGGUUUAUAGAACCACCUGAAAGCUAUAAAAAAUGUAUCCAACGCCAAACACAAGCUCCCAUGCGUAGUUAUUAACUAGCGAGGUAAAUGAGACAGAAAAGCGCCUGCGAGCAAGAACAGCAGUGCUACUGCCCAGUGACGCCGGGACACUAGCAGCAAAGACGCGCGGUGCAGUCAGCCUGGUCCUCUUCACUGGACACUCAGUCCCUCUGCUCUGCUCUCCUGGGUAUGGAAAUAUUCACAGGUUUAUAAGUUUAGAUUCGGAACUCCUUUAAACAGCUGACUUCCUACUACGUCCAUCCAUCUGCAGCCGGGCACUUCCUUAUAACGACAUCAGGCGUCACAGCACAGUAAACACACGGGUCCUAAAAGGAGCCGGGUUAGGCAGAACUCCGCCAGUACAGACGGUCCUCCUCGUCGAGAAAUGAAUCGCACACGUUGCAGUCCCAAUAGGUAAACCUUUUCAAAAAUGUGUCCGUAAAUGCGGACUCAAUCCUUUAGUUUACGGGAUAUUUAUGAAUAUGUUCGUAAAUAAACGUACAACUUUCAGGGAUUUACGUCAUUUGUGAAAAGCUCUGGGCAGUCGCCUCCAUCCCAGAGAUCACUACACCCAUUCACUCAAAGGGUAACGGAGCCCGUGAACAACAACGUGACCUUCAAAUCUGGCAAUUUAAGGCUGUUUCACACAGUUGUGGCGCAAAUAAUCGCAGAGACCAGCAAACGACUUUAGCUACACAGAGAGAGGACUGGACAGUGAAAUGAACUUCUGCAGUUGCCAGCUGACGAUUACAACCAUAGAUAUAAGUGACGUGCCGCGUUGGGUCCAGCCAGGCACGUCAACGGCGCUGCCAUUUUGGGGCGGUCAACAUCGCUGCUGGACUGCGUUCUGUGCCGUUACAGAGCGGAAGUUUAAGAAAGAUACGGUCCAAAAUGAUACUACUUCAAGAAUACUACCUUCAGACAGUGGGAUAAGAUUGUUGGCACACAUGGCUGGUGGUCCGCUGGCUUUUUCCUCAGCGUUUUCCAGGCAGCCCACAGAUGGAGACAACCAAAAAGAAUUUUAGACAUUAUCUGACCAGAUUGUCUCAAGAAAUAUCCUUUCUUACUUUGCACACAAACAGAAAAUGGAUACUUUUAUUAUCACAUUUGACCUACAGCCAAUUUGGCCAGACUCUGAAGAUGAGACUACACUAAAUUCCAAAACUGUCAGUUGGUCUGUAAGCAGCUAGAGAAUGACCUGCUGGCUGUGCAGUGAGUUAGCUACAAACAGAAAAAAAGAAAACAGCAGAACAAUUAUCACUCAAUAGAAAAAAAACAACAAAAAUCAACUGUGUUCUGUCCCAGACAUGUGUAAAUACCACCACCUCCUGACAAGAACAGCUAUUGCAGCUUUAGAAAAGUAUAUUGUGUAGCUCAGCGUUUCUCAACCUAUGGGCCAUGGACCACCAGUAGGCCAUGAGACACUUAUUUGUGGUCCGUGCGCUGCAGUCAGCUAGCCAGAGAUGGAAAAGUUUCUCAGGGCGCUUUGUUUGGUUUGGACUUUGGUUUGCACAUCUUUUUCUUCAGUUCUGUUUUUGCUCAGUUUUGACGUGUGAACACUCCACCCAUAGUUGUGUACACAACAAGCAGUUGAACCAGUCUGCUUCCGUUCAUUGCCGAUAGAAAUGCGCUCUGUGACCAAACCAGGGAAUUCAUCAAUAGAGCUGCUUUCCUUCUCUUCUAGAAGCAUGCUGGUGCUGUAUAGUUAGCAUAGCGAUUUAAUUAGCAUUUUAAUUACUGACUCUUUAUAGACACUCAGCAUGAGCUGCUAUUAAAAACAACAAUUGUAAAAUAAUAGCAAAGAGAAGGAUUUGAUUUCAAUUCAUGGAUCGCAGAGCAUAUAUGUUUCUUUUCAUUUUUAUGCUGACGAUACACAGAUAUAUCUAUUUGUCAAACGAAAUGACACUGGUAGAUUGGCUAAUCUUACCAACUGUCUGACAGCCAUUAAAACCUGGAUGUCUCAAAAUUUUCUUAAACUAAAUGAUGAAAAGACAGAGGUUGUAAUUGCGGGCUCUGAGGAAAUGUCCAAAAAGGUGCAGUUAGAUUGUGUUGGUUUAAAGGCAAGGCCCUUUGUGUGAAAUCUCGGUGUGACUUUUGACUCCCACCUCAGUUUCUCCUUACACAUCAAGACGCUUCUUCAAUCCUGCUUUUUUCAGCUUAGAAAUAUUAGUAAAGUUAGAAGUUUCCUGCCCUUUUCUGACAUGAAAAAAAUUAUUCAUGCUUUUGCCUGCACCCAUUUGGACUACUGCAUUGCCUUCUUUACUUGUCUGAGUCAGAGAGAGGUGGCUCGUCUACAGCUUGUUCAAAAUACAGCUACUCAUCUUCUCACUAGGACAAAGCGUAGGGAACAUAUUACACCAGUAUUGGCUUCUCUACACUAGUUGCCUGUAAGCUACA